AUCGCUUCUCGGCCUUUUGGCUAAGAUCAAGUGAAGUAUAUUAAAUGACCUAGCAGUUCAAGAUAUACUUUAUAUUAAUGCAAAUAAUUAUGAAGUGAAUAUUUUGGCCUUUUGAGUCAAUGCAUUGUUAAAACUUGGCCCAGAUCUAUCCUCUAAUCUUGUUUAUAGGUUACCAUGA
Molecule: small nuclear RNA, 178 nt
Organism: Rattus norvegicus (Norway rat)
Lineage: Eukaryota; Metazoa; Chordata; Mammalia; Rodentia; Muridae
Product: U2 spliceosomal RNA
Source: Ensembl